GACGAACGCUGGCGGCGUGCUUAACACAUGCAAGUCGAACGGUAAUGCUCCAGCUUGCUGGAGUGGACCAGUGGCGAACGGGUGAGUAACACGUGAGCAACCUGCCCCAGACUCUGGAAUAACCGCUGGAAACGGCGUCUAAUACUGGAUACGAAACUGGCCCGCAUGGGGGUGGUUUGGAAAGUUCUUCGGUUUGGGAUGGGCUCGCGGCCUAUCAGCUUGUUGGUGGGGUAGUGGCUCACCAAGGCGACGACGGGUAGCCGGCCUGAGAGGGCGACCGGCCACACUGGGACUGAGACACGGCCCAGACUCCUACGGGAGGCAGCAGUGGGGAAUAUUGCACAAUGGGCGAAAGCCUGAUGCAGCGACGCCGCGUGAGGGAUGACGGCCUUCGGGUUGUAAACCUCUUUCAGCAGGGAAGAAGCGAAAGUGACGGUACCGGCAGAAGAAGCACCGGCUAACUACGUG
RNAcentral lists this ribosomal RNA (468 nucleotides) under uncultured bacterium. Its description in RNAcentral is "partial 16S ribosomal RNA". It matches the Rfam family "Bacterial small subunit ribosomal RNA", at positions 28 to 507 of the family's 1533-position model. The record is from RNAcentral.